Molecule: ribosomal RNA, 460 nt
Filed under: uncultured bacterium
Lineage: Bacteria
Description: partial 16S ribosomal RNA
Rfam family: Bacterial small subunit ribosomal RNA
Source: RNAcentral
CCUACGGGAGGCAGCAGUGAGGAAUAUUGGUCAAUGGCCGGAAGGCUGAACCAGCCAAGUCGCGUGAAGGAAGAAGGAUCUAUGGUUUGUAUACUUCUUUUAUAGGGGACUAAAGGUAUCCACGUGUGGAUCUUUGCGUGUACCCUAUGAAUAAGCAUCUGCUAACUCCGUGCCAGCAGCCGCGGUAAUACGGAGGAUGCGAGCGUUAUCCGGAUUUAUUGGGUUUAAAGGGUGCGUAUGUUGGUUUUUAAGUCAGCGGUGAAAGUUUGUGGCUCAACCAUAAAAUUGCCGUUGAAACUGGAAGACUUGAGUGUGUUUGAGGUAGGCGGAAUGCGUGGUGUAGCGGUGAAAUGCAUAGAUAUCACGCAGAACUCCGAUUGCGAAGGCAGCUUACUAAGCCAUAACUGACACUGAAGAACGAAAGCGUGGGGAUCAAACAGGAUUAGAUACCCUGGUAGUC